Long non-coding RNA from Aedes aegypti (yellow fever mosquito), 562 nucleotides. RefSeq lists it as uncharacterized. The record is from RefSeq and is a predicted model, not a curated record. The transcript has 2 exons. NCBI's taxonomy places the organism in Eukaryota, Metazoa, Arthropoda, Insecta, Diptera, Culicidae.
AAAAGCAAAAAAGUGAAAAUUUUGCAGAGUAGUGCAAAUAGAUGAAAAAUGAAGAGUAUUUUUGUGGCAGAACAGCUCUUGUUGCUUUCCGGGGCAUGCCUGCUGAUCCUUGUGUGCUCUCGAUGUUAGUUGCCUAUCACAACGCUUCAUCGUCAUUGCAGAAGUCGGCGAAAUUUUACCAACAAUCGAUUGGAAGAAACCUUUCGGGUAAUCCGGCAAAAUGGCUGUGAAACAUGCCUUCGUUUGCGGAACAAUCAAAAAUUUCACUCAAAGAUUUUGUAAGAACCUGUAAUUCAUUGAAGAAUUUAAAGGAAAGCAAUGGCACGGCAUGACCAGACCCUUCGUAAUCCGGAUACGAAUGGAAACGAGUGUAAAACCUCCAACAAGAAAAAUAGUGUCCGCAAUUACACCAUGAACACUCUUCGAUGGCCUGUGAGCUGAAAAAUCCAAGGGUCAACUUCAGUUGAAACUCUGGAAAAACGAUAUGUUGGCUGCCUAGUGUAUUAUUAGAAUCGAUGGCAAGGUAAUCCUUAAUACAAAUAAAUAUUAUACUAUAUUUUAA